Non-coding RNA from Pelobates cultripes (western spadefoot toad), 210 nucleotides. Lineage: Eukaryota; Metazoa; Chordata; Amphibia; Anura; Pelobatidae. The record is from the annotation of a GenBank genome assembly.
CUGUGACCGGGCCCGGCCCACCAAGCUGUGACCGGGCCCGGCCCACCUGCAACCCGGGUAUGUAUGCCAGCUAUAUCCAGUGCUGCAAGCUCCCUCUUCAAUAUAUCUACAGCUUCUUAUACACACACAAAUCAACUGCUAUUUUUUUUCAAUAAUGGUUUUAGUGGGGGCCUCAUAUAUGAGUCUCGCCUAAGGCCUCGCCAAGUCUAG